This 377-nucleotide unclassified non-coding RNA is filed under the name Hevea brasiliensis (rubber tree). Lineage: Eukaryota; Viridiplantae; Streptophyta; Magnoliopsida; Malpighiales; Euphorbiaceae. The record is from RNAcentral.
GCAAAGCUUCUCCCACAUAAUAAAUUUAAACAGCCAACAACAAAACCAUCUUCCUUUUUACUUUCUAUACUUUCAACCUCAAAUGCCUCACUUUUCAUCAACUUGUUGUUUUUUCCUCAGCAGUUACCUUCGCUGCUUCAUCGUUCCCCUUUGCUGGUUUGGUAAUGCUUUCGGUUGGAGCAAUGGCCUUCGGUUCGGUAUCUUUCGCUGUCUCCGUCUCGGUCUUCUUGACAUCACUGAUAUCUUCUUCUUUCUUCUUCUCAGACGUGUUACUCUCAUCUGUUGCUGGUGUUGCUUCAACUACUGUCACUACUUCAGUUUUCUCGACUUUCUCGGCCAAUUUUACAUCUUCUAAUGUUUCACUCGUUGGCGUAAUU